GAAUUCGCCCUUAGAGUUUGAUCCUGGCUCAGGACGAACGCUGGCGGCACGCUUAACACAUGCAAGUCGAACGAGAGAAGAGAAGCUUGCUUUUCUGAUCUAGUGGCGGACGGGUGAGUAACACGUGAGCAAUCUGCCUUUCAGGGGGGGAUACCGAUUGGAAACGAUCGUUAAUACCGCAUAACAUAAUUGAACCGCAUGAUUUGAUUAUCAAAGAUUUAUCGCUGAAAGAUGAGCUCGCGUCUGAUUAGCUAGUUGGUAAGGUAACGGCUUACCAAGGCGACGAUCAGUGGCCGGACUGAGAGGUUGAUCGGCCACAUUGGGACUGAGACACGGCCCAGACUCCUACGGGAGGCAGCAGUGGGGAAUAUUGCACAAUGGAGGAAACUCUGAUGCAGCGAUGCCGCGUGAGGGAAGAAGGUUUUAGGAUUGUAAACCUCUGUCUUUGGGGACGAAAAAUGACGGUACCCAAGGAGGAAGCUCCGGCUAACUACGUGCCAGCAGCCGCGGUAAUACGUAGGGAGCGAGCGUUGUCCGGAAUUACUGGGUGUAAAGGGAGCGUAGGCGGGAUCGCAAGUCAGAUGUGAAAACUAUGGGCUUAACCCAUAAACUGCAUUUGAAACUGUGGUUCUUGAGUGAAGUAGAGGUAAGCGGAAUUCCUAGUGUAGCGGUGAAAUGCGUAGAUAUUAGGAGGAACAUCAGUGGCGAAGGCGGCUUACUGGGCUUUAACUGAGGCUGAGGCUCGAAAGCGUGGGGAGCAAACAGGAUUAGAUACCCUGGUAGUCCACGCCGUAAACGAUGAUUACUAGGUGUGGGGGGACUGACCCCUUUCCGUGCCGCAGCAAACGCAAUAAGUAAUCCACCUGGGGAGUACGACCGCAAGGUUGAAACUCAAAGGAAUUGACGGGGGCCCGCACAAGCAGUGGAGUAUGUGGAUUAAUUCGAAGCAACGCGAAGAACCUUACCAGGUCUUGACAUCGUAUGCAUAGCUCAGAGAUGAGUGAAAUCUCUUCGGAGACAUAUAGACAGGUGGUGCAUGGUUGUCGUCAGCUCGUGUCGUGAGAUGUUGGGUUAAGUCCCGCAACGAGCGCAACCCUUACUGUUAGUUGCUACGCAAGAGCACUCUAGCAGGACUGCCGUUGACAAAACGGAGGAAGGUGGGGAUGACGUCAAAUCAUCAUGCCCCUUAUGACCUGGGCUACACACGUACUACAAUGGCAAUAUAACAGAGGGAAGCAAUACAGCGAUGUGGAGCAAAUCCCCAAAAAUUGUCCCAGUUCAGAUUGCAGGCUGCAACUCGCCUGCAUGAAGUCGGAAUUGCUAGUAAUCGCAGAUCAGCAUGCUGCGGUGAAUACGUUCCCGGGCCUUGCACACACCGCCCGUCA
RNAcentral lists this ribosomal RNA (1385 nucleotides) under uncultured bacterium. Its description in RNAcentral is "bacterial SSU rRNA". It matches the Rfam family "Bacterial small subunit ribosomal RNA". The record is from RNAcentral.